Oncorhynchus tshawytscha (Chinook salmon) is the source of this 12912-nucleotide long non-coding RNA. The record is from Ensembl. NCBI's taxonomy places the organism in Eukaryota, Metazoa, Chordata, Actinopteri, Salmoniformes, Salmonidae.
GCUCAUACGCCCUCUCGUUCGGAGUGAAAACACAAAAGAAUGUAGAUCAUUAUUUUAAAACAUAGAUCUCAAUGCAUCCAUCUACAGUUGAACUCGGAAGUUUACAUACACCUUAGCCAAAUACAUUUAAACUCAGUUUUUCACAAUUCCUGACAUUUAAUCCUCGUAAAAAUUCCCUGUUUUAGGUCAGUUAGGAUCACCACUUUAUUUUAAGAAUGUGAAAUGUCAGAAUAAUAGCAAAGAGCAGGAUUUAUUUCAGCUUUUAUUUUUUUCAUCACAUUCCCAGUGGGUCAGAAGUUUACAUACACUCAAUUAGUAUUUGGUAGCAUUGCCUUUAAAUUGUUUAACUUGGGUCAAACAUUUCGGGUAGCUUUCCACAAGCUUCCCACAAUAAGUUGGGUGAAUUUUGGCCCAUUCCUCCUGACAAAGCUGGUGUAACUGAGUCUGGUUUGAAGGCCUCCUUGCUUGCACACGCUUUUUCAGUUCUGCCCUCAAAUGUUCUAUAGGAUUGAGGUCAGGGCUUUGUGAUGGCCACUCCAAUACCUUGGCUUUGUUGUCCUUAAGCCAUUUUGCCACAACUUUGGAAGUAUGCUUGGGAUCGUUGUUAAUUUGGAAGACCCAUUUGCAACCAAGCUUUAACUUCCUGACUGAUAUAUAUCCACAUAACUUUCCUGCCUCAUGAUGCCAUCUAUUUUGUGAAGUGCACCAGUCCCUCCUGCAGCAAAGUACCUCCACAACAUGAUGCUGCCACCCCUGUGCUUCACGGUUGGGAUGGUGCUCUUUGGCUUGCAAGCCUCCCCCUUUUUCCUCCAAAUGUAAGGAUGGUCAUUAUGGCCAAACAGUUCUAUUUUUGUUUCAUCAGACCAGAGGACAUUUUCCAAAAAGUAUGAUCUUUGUCCCCAUGUGCAGUUGCAAACCGUAGUCUGGCUUUUUUAUGGUGGUUUUGGAGCAGUGGCUUCUUCUUUGCUCAGCAACCUUUCAGGUUAUGUUGAUAUAGGACUCAUUUUACUAUAGAUACUACCUCCAGCAUCUUCACAAGGUCCUUUGCUGUUGUUCUGGGAUUGAUUUGCACUUUUCACACCAAAGUACGUUCAUCUCUAGGAGAGGGAACGCAUCUCCUUCCUGAGCGGUAUGAUGGUUGCUUGGUCCCAUGGUGUUCAUACUUGCAUACUAUUGUUUGUACAGAUCAACAUGGUACCUACAGGCAUUUGGAAAUUGCUCCCAAGUAUGAACCAGACUUGUGGAGGUCUACAUUUUUUUUCUGAGGUCUUGGCUGAUUUCUUUUGAUUUUCCCUGAUGUCAAGCAAAGAGGCACUGAGUUUGAAGGUAGGCCUUGAAAUACAUCCACAGGUACACCUCCAAUUGACUCAAAUUAUUUAAAUUAGCCUAGCAGAAGCUUCUAAAGCCAUGACAUCAUUUUCUGGAAUUUUCCAAGCUGUUUAAAGGCACAGUCAACUUAGUGAAUGUAAACUUCUGACCCACUGGAAUUGUGAUACAGUGAAUUAUAAGUGAAAUAAUCUGUCUGUAAACAAUUGUUGGAAAAAUUACUUUGUCAUGCACAAGUAGAUGUCCUAACCGACUUGCCAAAACAAUAGUCGCUCAAAAACGAGUUUUAAUGACUCCAACCUAAGUGUAUGUAAACUUCCGACUUCAACUGUAUCUGGCUUAUCCUAACUAAGAUUUGUGUACAGUAUACCUUGCAAUAAUUUUGGUGAAAAGUAGACAAGUCAAUCAUGGGGUGGAUGAACACCACUUACACAUCAUGUGUACCUCACACAAAUAUCAUUAACUCGAGCCAGGCAGAAAUGGCUGGUAAGUGCAACGUCUGUUUCUGUCUCAGGAGCCCAUGUUGGAGCCUAUGGGAGAUUCUCUAUUGGUUUUUUCAACUCCUCAGUCCUCUCCUCGCCUCCUUUUGAAAAAGUAAACAACAGCAGAUUCAAAGGGGGUGUGGCAGAUCCCAUAACUCUUCCACGAAGGACUCAGGUAGGAUACUCUUGUGCUUCUUCGGAGGGAGGAGGCUAUCGAGGAGGCAAGGACAUUUCUCUGUUUGCCUACUAACUAACUGAUACUCUCCUCGACCACUCAACCACUUAUUGGUUUCCGGGUCACGGAGGAGAGAGGACAGUUUUUUGCCCAAAUGAGAAUCUUCCUGUGAAUAUAAACAUUCAAAAAAGUCUCCUACGCCUCCACGGAAUAGAUCAAAGUCCAACUUGAUCUGAUGAGUUGCUGUGAUUUGGCCUAAUCUCAGCUGGCAACUGUGAGCAGUUCAGCGUUUCCUCUCACAGUGGCUACUGGGGUUCUGCUAAACGUAGCUGUUUGCCUCUCCUGCACCACAGUAAAGUCCAGUACAGUAGGUCCCUCGCUGGAACAAGCUUUUGGAGAGGCGCCCAGUCUCCAAGGCGUCAAUAGAGAUGACCUGACGCCCCAGUGUCCUGCCUUCAAAAUUGUCACUGGUGCACUUAACAUGGGAUAGUCCCCUACUGAUGGUUUUCAGAUCUUGAACAAACUAUCAACAAAUUGUUUAACUAUCCACUAACCAUAUCCAUAACUCCAAUUUUUUGUUUAUUUUUUAUUACAGAUUUCAAAUUUGCAAUUGCAACAUUGAUACAUAUAUACACUGCUCAAAAAAAUAAAGGGAACACUAAAAUAACACAUCCUAGAUCUGAAUUAAUGAAAUAUUCUUAUUAAAUACUUUUUUCUUUACAUAGUUGAAUGUGCUGACAACAAACCGACUUGCCAAAACAAUAGUCGCUGAAAAACAAGUUUUAAUGACUCCAACCUAAGUGUAUGUAAACUUCCGACUUCAACUGUAUCUGUCUUAUCCUAACUAAGAUUUAUGUACAGUAUACCUCUGCAAUAAUUUUGGUGAAAACUAGACAUGUCAAUCAUGGGGUGGAUGAACACCACUUACACAUCAUGUGUACCUCACACAAAUAUCAUUGUAACUCGAGCCAGGCAGAAGCUGGUAAGUGCAACUGCUGUUUCUGUCUCAGGAGCCCAUGUUGGAGUCUAUGGGAGAUUCUCUAUUGUUUUUUUCAACUCCUCAGUCCUCUCCUCGCCUCCUUUUGAAAAAAGUCAAAGGUAACCGAUGAGUGAAGGGGAGGAAAGGAAAUGUGGAAACAAAUGCACUUGUAUGAAAUGAGACCAUCCUUCCUUGCAAUAGUUGAAUGUGCUGACAACAAAAUCACACAAAAAUUAUCAAUGGAAAUCAAAUUUAUCAACCCAUGGAGGUCUGGAUUUGGAGUCACACUCAAAAUUAAAGUGGAAAACCACACUACAGGCUGAUCCAACUUUGAUUUAAUGUCCUUAAAACAAGUCAAAAUGAGGCUCAGUAGUGUGUGGCCUCUACGUGCCUGCAUGACCUCCUUACAACGCCUGGGCAUGCUCCUGAUGAGGUGGCAGAUGGUCUCCUGAGGGAUCUCCUCCCAGACCUGGACUAAAGCAUCCGCCAACUCCUGGACAGUCUGUGGUGCAACGUGGCGUUGGUGGAUGGAGCGAGACAUGAUGUCCCAGAUGUGCUCAAUUGGAUUCAGGUCUGGGGAACGGGCGGGCCAGUCCAUAGCAUCAAUGCCUUCCUCUUGCAGGAACUGCUGACACACUCCAGCCACAUGAGGUCUAGCAUUGUCUUGCAUUAGGAGGAACCCAGGGCCAACCGCACCAGCAUAUGGUCUCACAAGGGGUCUGAGGAUCUCAUCUCGGUACCUAAUGGCAGUCAGGCUACCUCUGGCGAGCACAUGGAGGGCUGUGCGGCCCCCCAAAGAAAUGCCACCCCACACCAUGACUGACCCACCACCAAACCGGUCAUGCUGGAGGAUGUUGCAGGCAGCAGAACGUUCUCCACGGCGUCUCCAGACUCUGUCACGCGCUCAGUGUGAACCUGCUUUCAUCUGUGAAGAGCACAGGGCGCCAGUGGCGAAUUUGCCAAUCUUGGUGUUCUCUGGCAAAUGCCAAACGUCCUGCACGGUGUUGGGCUGUAAGCACAACCCCACCUGUGGACGUCGGGCCCUCAUACCACCCUCAUGGAGUCUGUUUCUGACCGUUUGAGCAGACACAUGCACAUUUGUGGCCUGCUGGAGGUCCUUUUGCAGGGCUCUGGCAGUGCUCCUCCUUGCACAAAGGCGGAGGUAGCGGUCCUGCUGCUGGGUUGUUGCCCUCCUACGGCCUCCUCCACGUCUCCUGAUGUACUGGCCUCUCCUGGUAGCGCCUCCAUGCUCUGGACACUACGUUGACAGACAGAGCAAACCUUCUUGCCACAGCUCGCAUUGAUGUUCCAUCCUGGAUGAGCUGCACUACCUGAGCCACUUGUGUGGGUUGUAGACUCCGUCUCAUGCUACCACUACAGUGAAAGCACCGCCAGCAUUCAAAAGUGACCAAAACAUCAGCCAGGAAGCAUAGGAACUGUGGUCUCCACCUGCAGAACCACUCCUUUAUUGGGGGUGUCUUGCUAAUUGCCUAUAAUUUCCACCUGUUGUCUAUUCCAUUUGCACAACAGCAUGUGAAAUGUAUUGUCAAUCAGUGUUGCUUCCUAAGUGGACAGUUUGAUUUCACAGAAGUGUGAUUGACUUGGAGUUACAUUGUGUUGUUUAAGUGUUCCCUUUAUUUUUUUGAGCAGUGUAUAUAUUUUCUAAUACAAAAAACAGCUCAGUCCCUUGCCCCCACCUACCCCAAUCCCAACCUCCCUUUCCAUCCCAGGGAAAUAAAUAAAUAUAUAUAUAUAAAAUACUAUUAAUAUAAGGCCUCAUAACUCCAAUUCUAUACCUAACUCUAACCGUAAUGCUAAAUCUAACCCUAACCGUAAUGCUUAAUCUAACCCUAACCGUAAUGCUAAAUCUAACCCUAACCGUAACGCUAAAUCUAACCCUAACCGUAACGCUAAAUCUAACCCUAACCGUAACGCUAAAUCUAACCCUAACCGUAACGCUAAAUCUAACCCUAACCGUAAUGCUAAAUCUAACCCUAACCAUAACGCUAAAUCUAACCGUAACUCUAAAUCUAACCCUAACCGUAACGCUAAAUCUAACCCUAACCGUAACGCUAAAUCUAACCCUAACCGUAACGCUAAAUCUAACCCUAACCGUAACGCUAAAUCUAACCCUAACCGUAACGCUAAAUCUAACCCUAACCGUAAUGCUAAAUCUAACCCUAACCAUAACGCUAAAUCUAACCGUAACGCUAAAUCUAAACCUAACCGUAAUGCUAAAUCUAACCCUAACCAUAAUGCUAAAUCUAACCCUAACCGUAAUGCUAAAUCUAACCCUAACCGUAACGCUAAAUCUAACCCUAACACUGGCAGGUGGUGGCAUAUCAAUAAAGCUGCAGUUGAUAGUUUGAGCCAUUAUAGAGCAACUAUGGGGGCUAUCCAAUUAAGUGGGGUGUCUCUUUUUCUCUAUAAUGGGUGUCCAUUUCCUCUCAUAAUCUUGUUUUAAACAUGUACUAACUCCCUCAUUUGCCCACUUGCAGUUGGUUCUUUUUGAGCCAGAGUGGAACCCCGGUUUCCAUGACUGAAUGCAGAGCUUUCUGAUGUUGAUGAUACUGCAUCAGGAACUGAUUGGAUGAUGUCGAUGGGCCAUCAGUUCUUGAUGCAUUGCCUUCAGCAUUGAAAGAAACACCACACAGUGUGUUGCUCUUUUAAACUAUGAUGUUCUAGUUUUUUCCAUGUAUGUUGUACAGUAAUUCAUUUUUAAAAAAUGUAAUCAUUUAAAAUACUGUAAUUGAGCAUCAUGAACCUUUAUAAAGGCUUAUUCACAUUUAUACAUGUUUACAAAUAAAUGUGUAAUUGUUUAUAAAUAGAUUAUUAAUGCUUAUUCAUGAUAAUUAUUAUAAAGUGUUACCAAUGUUUUGUUAAGGCAAAGAUUAGGACAGCAGGUACUUUGAGAUAUUUAAGGAAUAGAAUAAAUCUGUGUCGUUGUACCUUUGGUUAGAAUUUGUGUUAAAGAGAAUGCUUGUUAUGAAUGGUUUGACAUAUAUAAGCGAUUGUAUUUUUUUUAUAAGUCCAUAAUUGAUUUUCUGGUAAAUGUGUGGUGUGCAAUGCAGAAUGAUGACGCUAUUAAAGGAUGUUUUAGAAGUGUAGUACGCUGUACCUCAAGUAAAUUUCCUCAUGGCUAUUCAGACCACAGGAGGCUGCUGAGGGGAGGACGGCUCAUGAUAAUGGCCGGAACAGAGCAAAUGGAAUGGCAUCAAACACAUGGAAAUCAUGUGUGUUUGUGUAACAUUUAUUUAACUAGGCAAGUCAGUUUCUUAUUUACAAAGGCGGCCUAUACCAGCCAAACCCAGACAAUGCUUGGCCAAUUAUGCGCCACCCUAUGGGAGUACCAAUCACCGCUGGUUGUGAUACAGCUUGAAUUCAAACCAGGGUGUCUGUAGUGACGCCUCUAGCAUUGAGAUGCUGUGCCUUAGACCGCUGUGCCACUCAGGAACCCAAGUUGUAUUUCAUACCAUUCCACUAAUUCUGCUCCAGGCAUUGCCACGAGCUGUCCUUCCCAAUUAAGGUACCACCAAUCUCCUGUGAUUCAGAUGUGUUAGUUCAGAUGAAAAUUGCUGCAAACAUGACAAUCGACUUCAAGACAGACUUGAGAACUGUAAAUACCAUAAUCAAUGACAAGGGCGCCACCUGCCAGUCACAAUAUGAAAGUAUCUAUAUUUUCAUAUGAUGAGAUUUUUAAACAAAGACAGGAAUCGACACACUCCAUCAAUACCAUCUAUGGAGUAAGUGCAUUACAUUUUCACAGGCAAAUACUGUCUGCUUUCUGUAUAUCGAACAUUCCAUGAGAGCAACUACUUUUUAAAACAUUAUGUGAAGCUAUCCAUAAAUUCUUCACAAUAAUAGGUCCUUCAUUUUGGAUUAGGGUGUAUGUGUGUGGCAUGUGCAAACAUGUAGCCUAACUAAGGUAAAACAGUUGAUCUCUUAUAGUCACAAGGCCUCCAAGUAAAGCUCACAAUGCAUUGACACCAGAUACUAGCUUUAUCACUGAAUGGGUGUUACUAUCCUCACAAACGAUGCUGAAUCAAACCAUAACCCAGGAUAUAGGGGCUGAGUGAAUGUGGUCUGGCAUUUGUGGAGGAGGGUCAUUGUGUCAGAGAUGCUGUAGAAGGACAGAGUCCCUGCACUGUGGCUCAGGUACACUCCUGCACCAGGGGAGCGAGGAACAUUAAUAUGAGUGCAUUCUCCAUUAUUGUGGAAGAAACAAGUGUAGAGCGGAGGGGAGCAGUAUAUCAUCCAGGACUGAUCAUUCAUCCCAUGCUGAUCAUCUACUUUCCUGAUCUCUUCAUUUGACACUGCUAUAUGAGCGGAUUGCCCACUCCACUCUACCUCCCAGUAGAUGCAGGCACCAGAUAUUUUGUCCUAUGAAAAUCCUCAUCAAUCUACACACCAAACCCCAUAAAUGACCAAGCGAAAACAGGUUUUUAGAAAUUUUUGCAAAUGUAGAAUUUAUUUUAAACAGGAAUACAUUUUCACAUAAGUAUUCAGACCCUUUGCUAUGAGACUCAAAAUUUGCGCUCAGGUGCAUCCUGUUUCCAUUGAUCAUCAUUGUGAUGUUUCUACAACAUGGUUGGAGUCCACCUGUUGUAAAUUCAGUUGAUUGGACAUGAUUUGGAAAGGCACACCUGUUUAUUUAAGGUCCCACAGUUGAUAGUGCAUGUCAGAGCAAAACCAAGCCAUGAGGUCGAAGGAAUUUGUCGGUAGAGCUCCGGGACAGGAUUGUGUCAAGGCACAGAUCUGGGGAAGGGUACCAAAACAUGUCAGCAGCAUUGAAGUUCCCCAAGGACACAGUGACCUCCAUAAAUCUUAAAUGGAAGAAGUUUGGAACCACCGAGACUUCCUAGAGCUGGCCGCCCGGCCAAACUGAGCAAUCGGGGGAGAGGGGCCUUGGACAAGGAGGAGACAUGUAAAUGUGACAUUAAUUUAAAAAUGUUUAAUACAUUUACAAAAGAUUCUAAAAACCUGUUUUUAUUGCAUUGUAUGGGUGUGUAGAUUGAUGAGGGGGAAAAAACAAUUUAAUCAAUUUUAGAAUAUGGUUGUAACGUAACAAAAUGGGGUCUGAGGUCUUUCCUAAUGCACUGUAGAUAUAACUUGAUCAUCAUGUCAUUUUGAAGAAUUAUCAAUAGUGGUGCCCACCACAAGAAAUGUCCAACUACUCCAUUUUGUACAGAUGAAAUGAACGAUAUCUAUACUUUCUUAUACCAUGGCAUUGUUGAAUACUCAUUUCUGAUUGGCUUGAAGGGCAUUCUAGAGCGUUCAUUAUUUAAGCAAUAAGGCACGAGAGGGUGUGGUAUAUUGCCAAAAUGCCACAGCUAGGUGCUGUUCUUAAGUACGACGCAACGCGGAGUGCCUGGAUACAGCCCUUAGCUGUGGUAUAUUGGUCAUAUACCACAGCCCCCCGAGGUGCUUUAUUGCUAUUAUAAACUGGUCAUCAACGUAAUUAGAGCAGUAACUAGAAAUGUUUUGUCAUACCCAUGGUAUACGGUCUGAUAUACCAUGGCAGUCAGCCAAUCAGCAUUCAGGGCUCAAACCACCCAGUUUAUAAUCCCUUAAACUGGGAAUAAACUGGGAAUAAACUGGGAAUCCCAGGUUGCUUUAUUGCCAGGAGCAACUUCCAAUACAACCUCCAAUACAUAAUUUACAAACAAAGCAUGUGUUUAGUGAGUCCACCAGAUCAGAGGCUGUAGGGAUGACCAGGGAUGUUCUUUUGAUAAGUGUGUGAAAAAGACUGUUUUAUUGUCCUGCUAAGCAUUAAAAAAGUCAACAUAAGAGUUGUCUAAAAUAUAAAGUAAAUAUACCCCAAAAAACUACUUAAGUAGUACUUUCAAGUAUUUUUACUUAAGUACUUUACACCACUGAUGACUCCCAACCAAAUGUAUUGUGCUUGAGCAAUUUUGUCAAAGACAAUGGAUAUAUGUUGCACCAACAUGCUGACCAGACAGCACACCCCUGUGCGUCUGCGUGCACCAUCGCACACAUGUUGAUUUUGUCAUCCACACCAGACAUGAUCAGGACACGCAGGUUGAAAUAUCAAAACAAACUCUGAACCAAUUAUAUUAAUUUGGGGACAGGUCGAAAAGCAUUAAACAUUUAUGGCAAUUUAGCUAGCUAGCUUUCUGUUCCUAAAUCAUUUAUCCUGGGAUAUAAAUAUUUGGUAGUUUUUUUUACCUGAAAUGCUAAAUGGUAUAUGCUCCUAAAAACCAAUGAGGAGAUGGGAGUGGGAGGAUUUGCAGUGCGUCGAGCAUCACAAAUAGAACCAAGUUCUAUUUUAGCGCCUGGCUACGCAGAUGCUCAUUGACGCUCGCGAGCAGUAUGGGUGCAAUGAUUGAAUAACGUGUAUGUGUACAUUUAUCUUGCAAUGCUCGCGCGUGCGACCCGAGCAGUGUGGUCAGCAUGUAAAAGUUGUGCAAAGUUGGUAGAAUCAUAUUCGAAAUGAUUCACAGCUGUAAUGGCUGCCAAAGGUGCUUCUGUCAAGUAUUAACUCUGGGGUGUGAAGGCAUAUGCAAUCAAGACAUCUUAAUUUUAAAAAUAUUUUUACAUUUUUAAUUUAGACAUUUUCUUUCACUUUGAAAAUGUGGAGUAGGUUUUUUAGAUCUGUGGGGUGGAAUCCAGUUUAAUCCCUUUUUAAAUUAAAUGUUAAGGCAGCAAAAUCAGAAGACUGCAAUGGAUGUGUAGACUUUCACUGGGUGUGUAGACUUUCACUAGGGCGACAGGUAGCCUAGUGGUUAAGAGAGUUGGGCCAACUAAGAGAGUUGAGCCGACUAGGUGAAAAAUCAAUUGAUAUGCACUUGAGCAAGGGACUUAACCAUAGUUGCUCCUGUAAGUCAUUUAGGAAAAGAGCGUCUGCUAAAUGACUAAAAUGUAAAAAUGUUUGUCCUGUAGCUGAUCUUUCCGUUUCUUCCAAAAAAAUUUAUGGAUAGGUGUUGAAGGAAUUCUAAAUUCCUCUGUUUUAUUUCCCAAUCAAAAUUAAACACUCUGUCAAUGCAUUAAGAGGUUUGUAAGACCCUUAUUUUAUAAGAAUGGACAGAGCCCCGGUCUUAAAAGUCAGGUAACAGCAUUUCAUUCAAGAGAGUACUCCCUUCAUACACAUUUUACCACAGGUUAUAAACUGAAAAUGACGUCAGCGUUUUCUAAAUGUUCUAUCUCUUCUUGACACUGGUAGAGAGGCCCUAUAGUUCAAGCCUUCCCUCCUCGCCUAAAGCCAAGGUCAGUCAGUGUAGAUAAGCAUUCUAGACAGUCUGGAGAUAGUCCGUCCCUGCCAUCUGGAGAUAGUUAAUUCAUUUGUACAAAGGAACAGACCGUCAUUGUCCUAACUUUUGCCCACGUUCACACACCUCCGUUCCAGUACUAAGGCUGUGUCUCAAGCCUUCCCACAUCCGUCUCCCUACCAAUUUAAUAUAAUUUACGAGUCAAGGUUUUCUUGUGUAGAUAAGCAUUCUAGCCAGUCUGAUUCAUUUGUACCAAUGAACAGACUGUCAUUGUUACUAAACUCUUGACCACAUUCACUUCAGUACUGGGAUCAGAUAAGACAAUUCAGACAUAUACAGUAACAUUUAGUAUUUUGAUUAGUACAUAUACAGUACCAUAAUUGUAUUCUGAUUAGUACAUCCUGAUUGAAAUGUAUACAUAAUUAGUCAUUAUAGAUAAAAAUUCCCUUAACAAUAGGAGAUGGAGAUGUAUGGAUAGACAGGCCUCAGAUCCAGUAGAGAGUAUUUUGGGGGACAUUUAUGGAUGUCACCUGGAGGAAAUGGAUUUGAUCUUCUGAGUUUGAGAGCUGCUCCAUGUCAGCAUCUCUCCUCCUCAGGUCAGCAAACUCCUGCUCCGGUUCCUCUUUCAACUCAACUCACUUCAAGACCAUUCCUGGGCUCUGAUCAGCUCCUUCACAUCAGAGCACCUUCUCUCAAUGGAGUGCAUGAGCUCAGUGAAAAUCCUCUCACUGUCUUCCACUGCUGCCAGUGCAGAGUGCUGUAAGGACACACACACAGAGGAGUGGGUCCAUUUACACCAGCCCAUUCACUCAGCUCUUACUUGGAUCCCAGACAGCUUGGAAAUGCAAAUAUGUAAAUAAUUUACAUAGAUGACACCAACACUUAGCUUCACAGAGUACACAGCCUGUCUCACAUCCUGCAUCUCCCUCUGUCUCUCCUGGAUUGUCUGUUGGGAUUUCGGAUGUUUCUCCCCCAACUCUUUGCAUAUAAAUUCAUCCCGAAUAUGAAAUGCCUUAUAUUCUAGUGUUUGUUAAGUUUGAAAUAUGUUAUGCUCUUAGGGGCCUCCCGGGUGGCGCAGUGGGGCCUCGACCGGGAGGCCCAUGGGGCGGUGCACAAUUGGCCCAGUGUCGUCCGGGUUAGGGGAGGGCUUGGCCGGCAGUGAUAUCCUUGCCUCAUCGCGCACUAUGGCAGGCCGUGCGCAGUGCACACAGACCAGGUCGCCAGGUGUACAGUGUUUCCUCCGACACAUUGGUGCAGCUGGCUUCCGGGUUGGAUGUGCAUUGUGUCAAGAAGCAAUGCGGCUUGGUUGGGUUGUGUUUUGUAUGGGAGUUGUGUUGUGUAUGGGAGUUGCAGUGAUGAGACAAGACUGUAACUACUACCAAUUGGAUACCAUGAAAUUGGGGAGAAAAAAAAGGGCAAAAAAAAUAAAAUAAAAAAUAAAUAUGUUAGGCCCUACAUGAACUCAAUGUGAGGAUUGGCAACAACAACUCCUCCACGCUAACUCUUAACUCAGGGGCCCCCCAGGGGUGUGUCCUCAGUCCACUGUUGUACUUCCUGUUCACCCACGACUGUGUGGUGGUGUCAUGACAACAACCUCUCCUUCACUGCCAGCAAAACAAAGGAGUUGAUUGUUGACUUCAGGAAGCAGAAGAUGUGGCCCAGUCCACAUCAAUGGAACUGCAGUAGAAAGAGUCACAAGUUUCAAGUUCCUCAGCAUCCACAUCCCAGAGGACUUGUCAUGGACCAAAAACCCAACCACUCUUGUCAAGAGGGCGCAACAGUGUCUCUACUUCUUAAGGCGUCUGAAGAAAUGUGGCAUGCUGCCCCGGGUCUUCUCCAAAUACUACCGCUGCACCAUUGAGAACGUCCUGACAGGUUGCAUCAUGGCCUGGAAUGGGAAUUGCUCCUUCCACGGCCGCAAUGCCCCCCCAGCCAUGAGCUGUUCUUACCCCUACCAUCAGGCAGACGUAUCAAAGCAUGAGGUCUGAUACCAACAGGCAGUUUCUAUCUACAAGCCAUCAGACUGCUGAACACUUGAACUGGACUGACCACCUGCUUCUGAUUCUCCGCACCUUAGCACACGUGCACUCACUCAUGCAAACACCCACACACACACCCACACAUACACACACACAUGUAAAUAUUGGACUAUAAAUUGUGCCUUCCUGUAUUAUACUUAUAAAUGAUAAAGGUUUUUUCUAUUCUAAUGAGCCAUUUACUUUAUGUUUGUAUUCUUAUCUUUUAUUAUUUAUUGUUGUGGCAUUGUCGAGAAGGAACCUGCAAGUAAGCAUUUCAUUGGACGAUGUAUACCAUGAGUAUCCCGUACAUACGACUAAUAAUAAAACUACAUACGACUAAUAAUAAAACUUGAAACAAUGUGUCACGACUUCAACCUAAGGUGGCUCCUCUCCCUGUUCGGGCGGCACUCGGCGGUCGUCGACACCGGUCUACUAGCUGCCACUGAUUCCUUUUUCUUUUCUGUUGGUUUUGUCUUGAUGUUUUCACCUGUACCUUAUUUGUGGUUAAUUCGGGGCUAUUUAAACUUCCAGGGCCCGCCUGCUUUUGUGUGGGCUUAUUCCUCUCUGUCAAUGGUCGAUGUUUAUUUUGCUUAUACAUAUUUUUCCUGUUCGUUAUUUUCCCUGGUUUUGGGGGACUUAACUGUUUAUUGGUCAUUGUGCCUGUAUGUUGGCUAGACCCAGCUGAAUAAAUACGUCUACAUUGGAA